Molecule: ribosomal RNA, 460 nt
Filed under: uncultured bacterium
Lineage: Bacteria
Description: partial 16S ribosomal RNA
Rfam family: Bacterial small subunit ribosomal RNA
Source: RNAcentral
CCUACGGGGGGCAGCAGUGAGGAAUAUUGGUCAAUGGCCGGAAGGCUGAACCAGCCAUGCCGCGUGAAGGUCAGUGCCCUAUGGGCGUUAAACUUCUUUUGUGCGGGAGCAAUAAUGGUCACGUGUGGCCAGACGAGAGUACCGUACGAAUAAGCAUCGGCUAACUCCGUGCCAGCAGCCGCGGUAAUACGGGGGAUGCAAGCGUUAUCCGGAUUUAUUGGGUUUAAAGGGUGCGUAGGCUGUGAGGUAAGGCAGCGGUGAAAUGCCCCCGCUCAACGGGGUGAAGUGCCAUUGAUACUGCCUGGCUGGAAUGCGGAUGCCGUGGGAGGAAUGUGUGGUGUAGCGGUGAAAUGCAUAGAUAUCACACAGAACACCGAUUGCGAAGGCAUCUCACGAAUCCGCGAUUGACGCUGAUGCACGAAAGCGUGGGUAUCAAACAGGAUUAGAUACCCCAGUAGUC